Molecule: ribosomal RNA, 468 nt
Filed under: uncultured bacterium
Lineage: Bacteria
Description: partial 16S ribosomal RNA
Rfam family: Bacterial small subunit ribosomal RNA
Source: RNAcentral
GACGAACGCUGGCGGCGUGCUUAACACAUGCAAGUCGAACGGUAAGGCCCUGCUUUUGUGGGGUGCUCGUGUGGCGAACGUGAGUGUAACACGUGAGUAACCUGCCCUUGACUUUGGUAUAACUUCAGGAAACUGUGUCUAAUACCAGAUAGGAUCUCCUGCUACAUGGUGGGGGUGGGAAAGUUUCGGCGGUUUGGGAUGGACCCGCGGCUUUUCAGUUGGUUGUGGGGGUAUUGGCUUACCAUGGCGCGGACGGGUAGCCGGCCUGAGAGGGUGACCGGCCACAUUGGGACUGAGACACGGCCCAGACUCCUACGGGAGGCAGCAGUGGGGAAUAUUGCACAAUGGGCGGAAGCCUGAUGCAGCAACGCCGCGUGCGGGAUGACGGCCUUCGGGUUGUAAACCGCUUUGGGCUGGGAAGAAGCGAGAGUGACGGUACCGGGUAAAGAAGCACCGGCUAACUACGUG